AUUCCCAUGGACGCGUGCAAAAACCAUAGACAUAAACAGUACUAGCAGCGUGACAAAACGGUUGAAUCAGAGCGUACUGUUAGCUUAUUUUUAGCCUGUAAAAAAUGCCUAAGACGUGUUGUGCUCCCGGUUGCACACAGAGACGGUCCAAAUCGUUGGAUGUACGUUUCUUUCGUUUACCGAAGGACGAAGAAAGAAGAAAGAAAUGGAUCAUUUCAAUGAAAAGGAUGCAGGCAGACGAUCCCACUCGACUGUGGGAGCCCUCAUGCAACGAGAGAAUUUGCAGUCUACACUUCAUCUACGGUGAGCCUUCAAAAAACCCAAACCAUCCCGACUUCCUGCCCACUGUUUUCAACUUUACGCCAUUGACCAAGUCAACUGCAACAUCGUUGGCAUUGACACCCUGUCAAAGGAGGGAGAAUGUACCGGACAGCCAUCAUGAACAAACAGCCGCCCAGGCCUUGUUGGGUUUUGCCCAUCAUACCCCAUCAUACAAAGAAUCAGGAACAGAUCCUGACCCUGACCCUCUUCAGCAGCAGUAUGAUCAGCUACAAAGGGAUUACGCAGGACUUCAAAAGGAGUAUCAACGAGUUCUGGAUGAAAAUCGACAUCUCAAGGCCCAACGUGAAGCAAGUCGGCUUACUUAAUUUGACGGUGUCAAAUUAAGGGAAGUGUCGGCCCAACGCCAACCAAGAUAUAUAUUUUUUCAUCCAAAUCCUGUAUGUUUAGUUACAUGUUAACACGUUUAAACAUUGUAAGGGAAAAAAUAUAGAUUGAAUAAAUAUAUGGAAACAUUUUUUGUUCA
This is a long non-coding RNA of Fundulus heteroclitus (mummichog), 805 nucleotides long. RefSeq lists it as uncharacterized. The record is from RefSeq and is a predicted model, not a curated record. The transcript is spliced from 3 exons. Lineage: Eukaryota; Metazoa; Chordata; Actinopteri; Cyprinodontiformes; Fundulidae.